GUGGGUAUAGCUCAGUUGGUUAGAGCGCUGGUUUGUGGCACCAGAGGUCGUCGGUUCGACCCCGACUACCCACCCCA
Molecule: transfer RNA, 77 nt
Filed under: Clostridia bacterium
Lineage: Bacteria; Bacillati; Bacillota; Clostridia
Description: tRNA-His
Rfam family: tRNA
About the family: Transfer RNA (tRNA) molecules are approximately 80 nucleotides in length. Their secondary structure includes four short double-helical elements and three loops (D, anti-codon, and T loops). Further hydrogen bonds mediate the characteristic L-shaped molecular structure. tRNAs have two regions of fundamental functional importance: the anti-codon, which is responsible for specific mRNA codon recognition, and the 3' end, to which the tRNAs corresponding amino acid is attached (by aminoacyl-tRNA synthetases). tRNAs cope with the degeneracy of the genetic code in two manners: having more than one tRNA (with a specific anti-codon) for a particular amino acid; and 'wobble' base-pairing, i.e. permitting non-standard base-pairing at the 3rd anti-codon position.
Source: RNAcentral